This is a non-coding RNA of Sus scrofa (pig), 11216 nucleotides long. Lineage: Eukaryota; Metazoa; Chordata; Mammalia; Artiodactyla; Suidae. The record is from RefSeq and is a predicted model, not a curated record.
AACCCGAGAAAAACCAAAGGAAAAAAGACACGCAACCUCGACCCUCAUUUUGCUCAAUUUCAACAUACAAACCGAGCUUCUGAAGGGAAGUGAAGUGGCAGAAAUUAUAAAAAUGCUCUGACUCCUCAAUCAUGGAAAACUUAAGGUAGAGCUCCCUAAGAAAAACGUAAACUUAUUUUUCUUGGCGCAAAAGUUAACUAAAAGCUAAGCCCAGGCAUCUGACCAAGGGGAGAGGCUGUGAACACCUGCCACACCGGAAGAAAAGGCGGGACGGAUCUCGGACCUGGGUAGUAAGUCAGCUGCGUCGAGGGCAACCCCAGGGCAGGCCGAGGGGUUUCUGAGGUUAUGGCCAAGAGAGAAGGGAAGGCCGCAGGGCUGACUGACAGCAGCGAGGAGACAGGGAAGGCUCCAGGUGUGUACUCACCCCGGGCUUCGAGGGGCGCGUGGGGUCUCUGCUGCCCUUCAGCUCCGGACCCGACGACCCGGGCGGUGGCGGUCUCUCCGUGCUGAGGGGCCGGCUUCCCAGCCAGCGGCUAGCGAGCCCCGAGGGCCGCCAUGUCUCCACUGGCCGAGCGCAGAGUCGCGCCAGCAGGACCCUCGCAGUGCCCUCCCCCGGGCUGUAAACCCCGAGUCCGUGAGGAAAGAGACACCCAAGUUUGCAGCCCGGAGGCCGCAAUACCCCACCGCGCGCGAGCAGCAGCCCCGCCAUGAGCUCGAGAGACCGCGCCUCCUUUGACCCGCCCUCGACUUCCGGCGCCGUUUCCGCUUCCUCCGGAAGUGAGGGAGAGCCGCUCUUUCCGCUCCGCUCGAUGGUGACGCGUUCAACUAACCCGAAGUCAAGGAGCCCUUCGCCGAGAAGCCGGCGUGCGAAAGUAAAGCUAUUUGGAGGUUAUGGAUGAUAAGCCCGAACCUGGACCCCUAAGUGAGAGUUCAGAACUUCUCUUCUCCUUUGGAGUUAUAGCCGAUAUUCAAUAUGCUGAUUUAGAAGAUGGCUAUAAUUUCCAAGGAAACAGACGGAGAUACUACAGACACAGUCUUCUUCACUUACAGGGGGCUAUUGAACACUGGAAUAAAGAAAGCAGCACACCCUGUUGUGUCCUUCAGCUUGGAGACGUCAUUGACGGAUAUAAUGCGCAGUACCGAGCGUCGGAAAAGGCGCUAGAACGUGUCAUGACCACGUUCCAAACGCUGAAAGUCCCAGUUCACCACACAUGGGGGAAUCAUGAGUUCUACAACUUCAGCAGAGACUACUUAACACACUCCAAACUGAACAGCAAGUUCCUGCAAGACCAGAUAGCUCAUCAUCCUGAGACCGUGCCUUCAGAGAAUUAUUACGCUUACCAUUUUGUACCAUUCCCCAAAUUCCGGUUCAUUUUACUCGAUGCUUAUGACAUGAGUGUCCUGGGCGUGGAUCAGUCUUCUCCAAAAUACCAGCAGUGUCUGAAGAUGCUGAAGGAGCACAACCCAAAUGCGGAAUUGAAUAGUCCUCAAGGUGAAUUAUUCCUUUGAGCUGAGAGUCUAAUGCAUUGUCUUUAAAUUCUCCAGCUACCUUUUAUUCAGCAGGAAGAUGGACGAUGAAGGACUUUCUGAGCCCCAGUUUGUCCAGUUUAAUGGAGGAUUCAGCCAAGAACAGCUGAACUGGUUGAAUGAAGUUCUUACAUUCUCUGACAAAAACCAAGAAAAGGUGGUGAUUGUGAGCCAUCUUCCCAUUUUCCCCGAGGCCUUGAACAGUGUGUGCCUGGCCUGGAAUUACAGAGACGCCCUGGCCGUCAUUUGGUCUCACAAGUGUGUGGUGUGUUUCUUCGCCGGCCACACUCAUGAUGGUGGCUACUCUGAGGAUCCGUUUGGUGUUCACCACGUCAACCUGGAAGGGGUUAUCGAAACGGCUCCCAGCAGCCAGGCUUUUGGCACAGUCCAUGUCUAUCCUGACAGAAUGGUGCUGAGAGGGGAGGGCAGAGUCCCGGACAGAAUUAUGAAUUACAAGAAGGAAAAUGCCUUCCCUCGUUAGUCCGAUUGUGUUUUGUUUACUUUUAUAGAAAGGUAGUGCCGUAGCUUUGUGGUUUUGUUAUGCCCCCGCCCCCCGAUACUCAGUCUCAUUGUUUAGUAUCCUGUUUGCAACAAAUAGCAGUAACCGGCUUCAGUGUGUGUUAGCUCAGAAGAUACUCUGAAAUGUCAUUUUUGGAUAAUAUAUCCCGUGCUGAAAUUGGAAAGAAAAUGAAUGAAAGUAGCAAACUGAGGUGGGAGAUAAUAGUCCCUUGAAACAGACUCUAUUUGGCCUUACCUAAGACUUUUUUUUUUCUUUUCUUUUCUUUUUUUUUUUUUACUUUUUAUAAGAAGAAUGUAUUCAUUCACUACAUUAGCUAUGUAACAUAAAAUUUAUAAUAAAAAAUCCAUAAAAUAAGCUCAGGUAAACUGUUUCUGUUUACCCAGCUGUGUGAAUGAGCUUUGGACAUUUUUUGCUCAGAGCACCCAUCGUAUUUUUAUUUUUACAAAUUUAAAUUCUUGUUUUGUAAAAAAAAAAAAAAAAAAAAAAUCACUAGUUACUUCACAUGUGAAUGAAUGGCGCCCGCAUUCACACAGGUGAACGUGUGGUCUCCCAUGCUGACCUCUUAGCAUUCCAGCCAAAGCAGGACCCAGUGCCGCUGCAGCUGUAUGCCGGCCAGCUUCCCGUCUGGGCCCCCAGCGGGUGCUGUGUGCCCUGGACUAGGUGAACAAGUUUAGCCUUGACCCCCUUUAUAGACAAAUGGAACAUGUCUUGUUGAGUUGUCAUAUAUUUGAAGGCUUAUUUGCAGAAACACCCGAUGGCAAAUGGGGACUGUUUAGGUGGUUAAAAAAAAAAAAAAGAAAAAAAAGAAAAGAAAGAAAAAAGUGUGAUUCAGGGCCUAAAAAUCAGGAAGACAAAAAACCAAUACUAGUUGACAUAAGUGUGCCUGCUGAGUGCCGAGGCACUUUGGGGGUAAGAGGUUUGUUAGUUUCCACUGGCUGCUGUAACAUAUUACCACACCUUGGUGGCUUAAAGGACGUAUGUGUGUUCUCCUGCAGUUUUGGAGCGCAGAAGUCUGCGGUCGUUUGCGCCGGGCUGAGAUCAGGUGUUGUGGGGCCAUGCCUUCUCAGCAGGCGCCAGGGGAGACUGUCUCUUUGUCUCUUCCAGCUUCUAGAGCUGCAUCUCUUGUACUCCUUGGCUCAUGCGCCUUCCUCCAUCUGCACAGCCAGCAAGGGAGCAUUGUCUAAUCUCUUGCUGCUUCGCUGCCACAUCCCUUUCUCUUCUUCUGUCUAGGAAGCCGUAUUUCCCUGCCUUCCUGUUAAUACGUGUGAUUACACGGAGGGCCCAUCCAGAUAAGCCAGGAUCAUCUCCCCAUCUCAAGAUCCUUCAGCACAUGUGGGCAGUCCGUUUUGUGCUGUGAGGUCACAGUCAUAGGCUCCAGGGAGUAGGAUUGGGCAUCUACUGCAGAGAUGACUGUAAUCCCCUCCCUGUGUUCACUGCCUUUCCAUGAGUUAAGAGAGAUCCACAACCCUGGACACAAAUGUGGGAAGAGAGAACUGUGGGAACAUGGAGGCGGAAUCUGGUUUUGUUUGGAGGGGAGAGGGAUGCCCUGAAGAAGGAAGCAAAGUGGUCUAAAGAGGCGUGGAGGUGCGUUUCAAGUAGACAGAAUAGCAAAGCACCAUGGGAUAUGCUGCGUUUGGGAGUUACCAGCAUUGCUAUGAGGAUUCACCAAAGUGGUGCUGGUGGUGGCAAGAAAUAAAGCAGGAAAAGGACAGGCUAGGGCUACGUGGUGCAGAGUCCUGAAGGACGAGCCCAGAGUUAGAGCAUAACUUGUCAGGCAGUGAGGAACCCUUGGUUUCUGAGCCAGGGAGUAUGUGAUGAAAUUAUGUGUCGUGCAGGCAGUGGAUACUGAGAGGCUGAGGCAGGAGAGUGACUGGGAAGAGAAAAGAUUGUAGGGGUGGGAAGACAGGGUUUGACUCAAGAUAGAACCAUUAAACUUAGGAAUAAUACUUACAUUCAACUGAAAAGUAAAGUUUAAAAGCAAUUUCAGUAAUACUCUCUUCAAGUUAGUGCCUUCUGUGUGGUUAUGGAGAUACAAAAGGAACUGUAUCGUCGGAGAAUUCGUAGAGUGAUGUGGGAGAUGCAGACAUGAUGAAAGUUUAUCUUGAACAUUAUUUUUUAUUUUUAAUUAGAACAUUAGAGGCUUUUAAGCACAGAGUCAAACAUUAAUUGGAGAAUGGGUAGGCCCUUCUGCAGAAUUUGCAAGUAAGUCUGUUUCUUUAUGUCUGACUGAUAGUUACACCAAAGGAGGAAUGAAAACCAUAAACGUGCAAGGUUGAUAUACACCAGAACACUGAAAUCCUUUAUAUGUACUUCAUUGACCCCUAAAAUACAUUUCACUUUAACAUCAACUGGAUUUUUUUUCCCUUUACCCUCAUCGAAAUCUUGAUAGAGAAUUUCUGAUUCUUCCGUGGCUACUGUUUAAAACAAAGAACAUGCAUACCUCGUUUAACAAAUAUUUAUAGACUAUUUAAUGUCGUAUUAAAGGCAAUAAAAAAUGAAGAGACAAGCUCCCAGACUGAUUUUCACUUUCUUGAUAUAUGUUUGGCACUAAUACUUUUUUGAGUCAAAUAUUUCCUAAAUCUCAUGAAAUGGUAUCGACUGUGGAGUUGGAUGCUGGCAUGUGUAAAAGAGUUGCCAUCCAUAUGCUCUAAAACAGCACCGCACAACAGGGCUAUAACUUGAGCCAUGUUAGUAAUUUGAAAUAUUUUAGCAGUCGCAUUUAGAAAAGUAAAUAGAAGCUGUAAAAUUCAUUUUAAUAAUAUAUUUUAUGUACCCCAAUACAUCUAACAUUAUUUCUACAUGUAAUCAAUACAAAAAUUGUUUACCUUCUUUUUAUACCAAGUCUUCAAAAUCUGGUGUGUAUUUUAAACUUAUCAUCCAUUUACUUGGUCACUAGAUUUUCAUUGGCAACACUUGGUCUGUGUUCAGAUAUAAAAUUUGCAGUUGAAGUGGAUGCACACAGGCAAGUUGUUCCAAACAGACUUCUAACAAGUGUUCCAAACACACACGUUUUCUGGUUCACUCCACAGUGUAGCCACGAAGAUGGUCGUCUUGCCAGAGUAAUUUCUGGCUUUCAUUAAAAAAAUAGGCGUAUAGAUUUUAGUCUUAUUUUUCAUUUAUCAUGUACUUCAUAUUCCCUAUUUCUUUCUUUCUUAGUCCCAGAUUCCUUUUUUCUGGCUAACUUGGGUUUCUUUCCAAGACAUGCUUGUUCACUUGGUUCGCCUGGAGUCCUCAUUUAAUUCACGGCACUGUACCAGUGCCCUAUAAUGUACAGUCCUCUUUUGAACGCCUGUUUGUAUCCUUCUAUACCCCUGCUUCCCUCUGGGUUAUUCCGUGCAGCACCUCGUAUUUUCAGAGUGCUCUCAUCUAGUUUCAUCCUUGCAGCUGUAGAAGUCGGAGGUCUGGUAUUAAUCCUGUUUUAUAAGGAAUUACCCACAAGAGGUUUAUGUAUUUGCCAGAGUCACAUGGACAGUGAUAAAGCUAAGUCAGCAUUCUGUUUCUUAACAUUUGUUCUGCCUUUUCUACUACACUAUGACACCCCAGAAUGUCAGACACAUGUCUCUUCCUAGACCCAUCCAGUCCUGUGUUGUAGGCAGCCUUAAAAAGUUCUUAGGAUUUUUCUUUUUCAAUCAUCUCUAGUAUUAAUUGAAAUCACCUCAAAUAAACCCCUAAGAAACUGGCUUAUUACAACCGUGUUUAUAAGAAAAUUGCAAACCCUCAUUUUAAGAACAGGAUUCUUCGUGUCAUUUAAAUGACUGUCUUGCAGUGAGCUGGCCAGGAGGACCGCAUCUCCUUGUUGACGUAUAUGUAGACCCAUGAGAUAAAUGGGAAAAGAGCAACUGCGAUAGCAAUGGCCAAGCGAAUUCUUCCACCAGCUGGAUUCCUGUCAAGACAUGCAAACGUUAUGAAUAAAAAUCCAAUGAAAUUAUGAAUUUCCUUGGUAACAAAUAAGAUCGAAUUUGGUAAAAUAGAUCAUUCCAUUUUUGUACAAUCUUUUUUCUUUUUCUUUUUAAAAUUGAAAUAUUCUUUCUUGUAGUUCUCUCUAUGUUCUUACUGCAAAUUCUUGGCUUUUUAAUGUGUGUUGCACGUGGCUUUUCCUGCUUUACUUAAUGAUGUCUUUGCAGGAACUGAAGUCAUUGAUUAAGCCAUAUUAAGAUGGACCUUCUCCUAAAGAUCUUUGUGUCCUUUUAAAGAAAACUUUUCCUCUUCAAGGUUUUCAAAAUACUAAGUUUUCUUCCCUAAAAGUUUUACUGUUUUGCUUUUCACAUUAGAUCUGUAAUCCCCCUACAGUUGAUUUCUGUGAAAGUUGUAAGGUAUAUGGGUUGUUGCACUUUUCUCCAUGUGGGUAUUCCAUCGAUCUAGUGCUGUUUAUUGAAAAGGCUGCCUUGCUUUGCCACCCUGGAGUGCUCCGUUGUCCUGAGUCAAGGGUCUGCAAUAUAAAUACGGAUCUGUUUCUAGAUUCUUUUUCGUUUCGUUUGUUUAUCCUUUGCCAAUAUGGAUUUAUCUUACACUACCAUAGGAUAAUUAUUUAGGUGUCUUUAUUUUAAUACUUAGGUCUUCUUUAAUUUCUCCCAUGUUUUAUUUUUAUCAUUUUGCAUGUAGAGAUUUUGCAUAUCUCUGUUAGAUUUAUUCCUGGGGAGUUGGUUUUUUGAUGUUAUAAAUAGUAACUUUUUUUUUUAUCAUUUUCUGUUACUUGCUGAGAAAAAUACAGCUCAUUUCAGUAUAUUGACCUAGUAUCCAGCAAUUAUGCUAAAAUCACUGAUUUGAAUCACUUUUUAAAUUCUUUUUUUAUGUUCUACAUAUGCAAUUACAUCAUCCAGGAAUAAGGAAAAUUCAAGUUUUCCUUUCCAAUCCCUGAGCCUUUUAUUUCUGUUUCUUGCCCUAGUAUUAGCUGGGACAAGAGCUAGAACAGUGUUGAGUAGCCGUGGCACCAGAGGCCAUGUCUCCUUUCUGAUCUGAAGGGGAAGCUUUCAGCUCACCCCUGAGUGCUUUGGUGCACACACCCUCCCUUUAUCAGAGUGAGUUCCUUUCUAGAUCUGUUUUCUGUGAGCUUUUAUCCUGAAUGGAUGUUGAAUUUUAUCAACAUAGAUUGAGAAAACAGGUUAUUUCUUCUUUUAUUCUGUUAUUGUGGUGAAAAACAUUAGUUGGUUUUCGUAUGUUUAACUGUUUUCCUAGAAUAAAUCCGCCUUGGUGCUUGGGUCAUAUAUCACAGGACUUGAUUUGCUAAGAGCAGUUUAGGGUUUUCCCAUUUGUGCUCAUGAGUGAGAUUUCUGUGUGAUUUCUUUCUUUCCUUUCUUUUCCGGUGAUGUUCUAGUCCAGUUUUGGUAUCCAGGUUAUUCUGCCCUCAUAAAAUGCACUGGAAAGUGUUUCUCCUCUUUCUGUUCUCUGGAAGAGUGUGUUGGAGGUUGGCGUUGUAUCGCCCUUAAAUGUUAGGUAGAAUUCUGCAGUUAUGGCAUCUGUCUAGAGUUUUCUUUUAAGAAAAAUUUAUAUUAUGUACUCAGUUUCUUUAAUAAUUAUGGGACCAUUUUGAGUAUUUCUUUUUGUGUCAGUUCUGAUAAAUUAUCUCUUUCAAGGAAUUUGUCCAUUUCAUCUACAUUUUAAAAUUUAUUGGCAAAAAUUUGUUCAUAAUAUCCUCUUAGGAUUUUUUAAAUGUCUAUCACAUAUGUAGUAACUUUCUCCUCGUCAUUCCUGUUAUUGUUAUUUAUGCCUCCCCUUCCUCGCUCUCACUCUAAUUAUUUUCCCUUUUUAGUCUUGCCAGGGUUUAUCAGUGUUAUUAAUCAUUUCAGAGAAUGAAUAUUUGGCCUUCUUAAUCCUUUAUUUUUUAAUGUUGAUUUUUCAUUUCAUUGGUUUCUGCUUUUAGGUUUAUUGUCUUCUUGUUUCUUUGGGCUUAAUUUACUGUUCCUUUCCUAACUUCUUCAACUGAAGAAUUCCUAACUUCUUGGAAGCUUAGCUUAUUGAUUUUCAGCCUUUCUUUUUCUUUUUUAAUAUAUAUAUUUAAGGCUAUAAAUUUCCCUCUGAGCAUGCUUUUUAGCCACAUUCCACAAAUUUUAAUAUGUAGCAUUCUUAUUCAGUUCAAAACAUUUUCUAGUUUUCAUUGUGAUUUCUUCCAAAUGUUAUCUGGAGAUGUAUUUCCUAAUUUCCGAAUGUAUGGUGAUUAUCUAAUUAUUAUUUUUGUUAAUGAUUUCUAGCUUAAUUGCACUGUGGUCAAAGAACAUGCUCCAUAGGAUUUCAGUUCUUUGAAAUUUUUUGAGACUUCAGGACUCAACAUAAAGUCUUUUGUGUGAUUAUUCAAUAUGUACUUGAAAAGAAUGUGAAUUCUGCUAUUCUUGGUGCUGGUGUUCUGUAUAGGCCCAUUGGGUCAAGUUUCUUAUCGUGUACCUCAGGUCUUCUAUAUAUUUAUUGAUUUUUUAAUCGUGUUCUAUUAGCGACUGAAAAAACAGUAUUAAAGUCUCACAAGGUGAUUAUAGAUUUUUUCAGUUUUAAGUUCUGUCAAUUUUUAUUUUAUCUAUUUUGAGGUUAUGUUAUUAGUUAUAUAUACUUUUAGUAAGUGGUGUUGAGAUCACUAGAUAGCCAAAAGGGAAAAAGAUAAUAUUGGAUCCAUCCUUUGUACCUUUACAUUAGGAUAAAUUCUAAACAGUUCAAAGAUUUAAAUGUAAAACUGAAACCAUACACAUAUUAGGGAAAAACAAAGGUAAGUUACUUACAGCCUGUUAGGAAGGAAAAUUUUUCUAACUAUGACCCUAGAUCCAGAAGCAGUAAGGAAAAGGAUUGAUAAAUUUGGUUACAUUAAAAAAAAAAUUUUUUUUUCAUGGCAAAGUAUGCUUUCCAUAAGCAAAGUAAAAGGACAGUAAGAAACUGCCAAAAAAAAUUGUUAGAUUAUAUUGCAAAGGUACUAGCCCUAGUUUGUAAAGAGCUUCUAAAAAUGGAGAAGACCAACAACCUUAGAAAUUGUUUAAACUGUAUCUCUUAGAGAUGAACCAACAUCUACAGAAAAAGAAAUGCAAAUGGCUUAAUCAUAUGAAAAUAUGCUCACCUUUGCUCCUAUUAAGAGAAAUACAAAUGAAAACUACCCAUUUCUCAACUAUCUGAUUGGUAAAAAAUUCAACAUUUUGGCAGUACACUCUGUUGGCAUUAUUUUUAACACCAAAAGAUUGAAUAUAAUCUGAAUGGCGGAGGGCUGGAGGGAUGAACUGUGGACCCAUCAGCAGAAUAAGGAAAGUCUUUAUAUUACCACAGAAUGAUCUCCAGGAAGUAGUAAGGGGAAAAUCAAGAAUACAGUUGUGUAUAAUGUACUACUGCUUAUCUCAGACAAGCAGGAGUACCAAUAAGUGCACGUAUUUGCUCCACUAAGAAACCAUGGAAGGAUAAACCAUAAAAGUGAAAAAAGGUUCAGCUACAGAGAAAGGGAGGAUGUUUAGGGGAUAGAGAAGCUGGAGUUCUUUGAAUGUCCCUUGUCUUGUAGAUUUGACUUUGGAACCAUGUGGAUAUUUUACAUAAUUAUAAAACAAAAUUAAUCUAUUUUUAAUAAAGUACCCCUAGAAAUCGAAAAUAAAAUGAAAUAAAUGAGCUUAACUGCGUAUUCACCUAGUGGGAUUAGCACACAGACUGAGUAUUCCAAGUAACCUGAGUGUCUCCCCCUUGGAGAGAUGUUCCUUAGCAGCAGCAACACAAACAAAACACCUGUUUUUAGUAAUCAUAUUCUUAUUCUGAGAUUGUGUUUAUAUUGUGGGAUGAGUCAAAUGAGUUAUGUUGAAGUCAUUGAGGCUAGAGAUUUUUUUGACAUGAUUCAAAGGAAAUACGGAUUUAAGAUUGCUGACAAGGUUAAAUGAAAACUUGUGUUCUUGAAUUUGAAUUGCUAGGAUCAAUAUGAACUCAUAAAGUAAAUAUAUAUAUAUAUAUAAAUAUACCUAUAUGUUUUAUCUUUAAAUGUAUAUCUUCAUAUAUGUAACAUAUAUGCAUAUAUGUUUGUUCCUCCCACACACGUGUAUGCACAUAUAUGUGGAUUUCCUAGUAUUCUCUACCAAAAAGAACCAACCCAACCCAGUAGCAGUGAGCACCAACUGUGCCCCGAAUAUUGACCUCUAAGGAUCAUUACCUACUGAAAGUAAUGAGGGCUUUUUGGAAGAAACAGUCGAUUCCAGGUUGAUUCCAAAUCUUAGCUUGGAACAGUUUGUCAUACCAGAAAGCAGGAAAACAAUCAAAGCUUACUAGGGUCAUGUCAAACAGAAUUCCAGAGCCAGUCUAAAUCAGUGCCACUGGUCAAAGAUGGGACAGUUAACACAUCAAUAAAGAUAAUAAUUGCCACGGAUUGAAAAACAUUACCUGUGUUGAAAUCCAUGACUUUAUAAUGGUAAUAUUAAAACCACAAAUCAGCCAAACACAGUAGUCACUUUUGGGAGAUGUCCAGGCGAGAAAAACUCAUUAUUCUGAAAACUGGUAAAUUAAUAUAGAGAAUCAACUUUUUCCUCUUAUGGACUGUAUCUCAGAAUAGUCAAAGAAUUGAUAAAUAGAAGUUUGACUUUAUAGAAGUUUUCCAGACAAUAAUCAACAAGUGGUAUAAUUUAGAGUGUUGCCAUUUUGCACCUCAAAUGAAUUAACGGAUUUAGGCAGCAGUCAUCAAAGAUUUUAUAUUAACGUUACGGAGAAACAGCUAGAUAUUAUGUACAGUAUGAUGGAAGUACAUAACACCACAUGAAGUGGUCUUGCUUAGUGGUGAUGAUGAUGAGAAGAAGAAAAAGAAGAAGAGGACCAGGAUCUGGCCAAGCCUCUAGAUCACCGAUUUAUCGGAAAUACAGAGCACAGAGGAACAAGCAUUUAUAAUACAACUGUGGAAAUGUGAACACUGGCUGAAAGACUCAUAAUACUGAAGAAUUACUGUUCUUUUGUUUUUUGUGUGUGAUAGUGGUAGAGUGGUUAUGUUUUACGUGCUUAUCUUUUGGAGAUACAUACUGAAAUAUUUAAGUAUAAAACAAUAUGAUGUCUGGGAUUUAUUUCAGCAUGAUCUAAGUGUGAGAGGACAGUGACGAUAAAGCGAGAUGGGAUCUAUAAUGACAAUUACUGCAGCUGGGUAACGAGUAUAUCUGAGUUCAUUGUAUUUGUCUCUCUGCUUUUGUAUAUGCUUGACUAUUUCAAAAUAAAAAUUGAAACAAGGUUUUUUUUUAAUUACUAA